Molecule: ribosomal RNA, 927 nt
Filed under: Microlunatus sp.
Lineage: Bacteria; Bacillati; Actinomycetota; Actinomycetes; Propionibacteriales; Propionibacteriaceae
Description: bacterial SSU rRNA
Rfam family: Bacterial small subunit ribosomal RNA
Source: RNAcentral
AACGCCGCGUGCGGGAUGACGGCCUUCGGGUUGUAAACCGCUUUCAGUAGGGACGAAGGGUGACUGACGGUACCUACAGAAGAAGGACCGGCUAACUACGUGCCAGCAGCCGCGGUGAUACGUAGGGUCCGAGCGUUGUCCGGGAAUUAUUGGGCGUAAAGGGCUUGUAGGCGGUCCGUCGCGUCAGAAGUGAAAACUCAGGGCUUAACCCUGAGCCUGCUUUUGAUACGGGCGGACUAGAGGGAUGCAGGGGAGAACGGAAUUCCUGGUGGAGCGGUGGAAUGCGCAGAUAUCAGGAGGAACACCGGUGGCGAAGGCGGUUCUCUGGGCAUUACCUGACGCUGAGAAGCGAAAGCGUGGGGAGCAAACAGGCUUAGAUACCCUGGUAGUCCACGCCGUAAACGGUGGGCACUAGGUGUGGGGGACAUUCCACGUUCUCCGUGCCGAAGCUAACGCAUUAAGUGCCCCGCCUGGGGAGUACGGCCGCAAGGCUAAAACUCAAAGGAAUUGACGGGGGCCCGCACAAGCGGCGGAGCAUGCGGAUUAAUUCGAUGCAACGCGAAGAACCUUACCUGGGUUUGACAUAUGCCGGAAAACUGCAGAGAUGUAGCCCCCGCAAGGUCGGUAUACAGGUGGUGCAUGGCUGUCGUCAGCUCGUGUCGUGAGAUGUUGGGUUAAGUCCCGCAACGAGCGCAACCCUCGUCCUAUGUUGCCAGCGGGUCAUGCCGGGGACUCAUAGGAGACUGCCGGGGUCAACUCGGAGGAAGGUGGGGAUGACGUCAAGUCAUCAUGCCCCUUAAGUCCAGGGCUUCACGCAUGCUACAAUGGCUGGUACAAAGGGCUGCGAUACCGCAAGGUGGAGCGAAUCCCAAAAAGCCAGUCUCAGUUCGGAUUGGGGUCUGCAACUCGACCCCAUGAAUCGGAGUC